GAUGAAGAACGUAGCGAAAUGCGAUAAGUAGUGUGAAUUGCAGAAUUCAGUGAAUCAUCGAAUCUUUGAACGCACAUUGCGCCCGCCAGUAUUCUGGCGGGCAUGCCUGUCCGAGCGUCAUUUCAACCCUCGAACCCCUCCGGGGGUCCGGCGUUGGGGAUCGGGAACCCCUAAGACGGGAUCCCGGCCCCGAAAUACAGUGGCGGUCUCGCCGCAGCCUCUCAUGCGCAGUAGUUUGCACAACUCGCACCGGGAGCGCGGCGCGUCCACGUCCGUAAAACACCCAACUUCUGAAAUGUUGACCUCGGAUCAGGUAGGAAUACCCGCUGAACUUAAGCAUAUCAAUAAGCGGAGGA
Molecule: unclassified non-coding RNA, 356 nt
Filed under: soil metagenome
Description: partial contains 5.8S ribosomal RNA, internal transcribed spacer 2, and large subunit ribosomal RNA
Rfam family: 5.8S ribosomal RNA (bases 1-120)
Source: RNAcentral